Molecule: ribosomal RNA, 115 nt
Filed under: Danio rerio (zebrafish)
Lineage: Eukaryota; Metazoa; Chordata; Actinopteri; Cypriniformes; Danionidae
Source: RNAcentral
GCCGGCAGCUAGCUCUCUGCAACUCUCACAUGGUCGCCCGCUGAAGCUAAGCAGGGCUGCGCCCGGUCAGUACCUGGAUGGGAGACUACAUGGGAAAGCUAGGUUGCUGCCGGAA